CGCGUGCUCUCGCGUCCUGGGGAAGUUACUGCGCAGGUUCAGUCCUAGAUUGGAGUGCAGCAAAGAGAUGUUCAUCAUCGGGAUGUGGCAUGAAUGACACAAGCUGGCAGUCAGCUGGAAGAUAAAGCAAAUUGAUGAGGGGUCACCCCUUCCUAGGGAGAUGAGUGGGAUCACUCGAGAAUUCCUCCAAGUGGAAUAGCUGGGUUCAAGAAUAUGUGCAUUUUACAUUUGAUAAAUGUGGCCAAAUUGCCCUCCCAAAAGCGGAAUCCAUUUACACUCCCAUUAGCAGCCAGCUUAGGAGAGUUUAUUUUCCUACAUCUUUGCCAA
Molecule: non-coding RNA, 327 nt
Organism: Leptonychotes weddellii (Weddell seal)
Lineage: Eukaryota; Metazoa; Chordata; Mammalia; Carnivora; Phocidae
Source: RefSeq, a predicted model, not a curated record